GUAGUGUUUUUGAUUCCAUAAAGUCGCUUAGUCAAAGUGAUGGAAGAUGGCGAUAUGAUUCUAGCAGUGCUGAAUCCAGCACUUAUGUUGCUGGGACAACACUUGAAACACUUGCAGGAGUGGUUUCCCUGGUAGAUCCAGAGGUGGAUCAAUCAAGG
Asparagus officinalis (garden asparagus) is the source of this 158-nucleotide long non-coding RNA. RefSeq lists it as uncharacterized. The record is from RefSeq and is a predicted model, not a curated record. The transcript has 3 exons. NCBI's taxonomy places the organism in Eukaryota, Viridiplantae, Streptophyta, Magnoliopsida, Asparagales, Asparagaceae.